GAUGAACGCUGGCGGCGUGCCUAAUACAUGCAAGUCGAGCGAACGGACGAGAAGCUUGCUUCUCUGAUGUUAGCGGCGGACGGGUGAGUAACACGUGGAUAACCUACCUAUAAGACUGGGAUAACUUCGGGAAACCGUAGCUAAUACCGGAUAAUAUUUUGAACCGCAUGGUUCAAAAGUGAAAGACGGUCUUGCUGUCACUUAUAGAUGGAUCCGCGCUGCAUUAUCUAGUUGGUAAGGUAACGGCUUACCAAGGCAACGAUGCAUAGCCGACCUGAGAGGGUGAUCGGCCACGCUGGAACUGAGACACGGUCCAGACUACUACGGGAGGCAGCAGUAGGGAAUCUCCCGCAAUGGGCGAAAGCCUGACGGAGCAACGCCGCGUGAGUGAUGAAGGUCUUCGGAUCGUAAAACUCUGUUAUUAGGGAAGAACAUAUGUGUAAGUAACUGUGCACAUCUUGACGGUACCUAAUCAGAAAGCCACGGCUAACUACGUG
Molecule: ribosomal RNA, 497 nt
Filed under: uncultured bacterium
Lineage: Bacteria
Description: partial 16S ribosomal RNA
Rfam family: Bacterial small subunit ribosomal RNA
Source: RNAcentral